Long non-coding RNA from Ipomoea nil (Japanese morning glory), 572 nucleotides. RefSeq lists it as uncharacterized. Lineage: Eukaryota; Viridiplantae; Streptophyta; Magnoliopsida; Solanales; Convolvulaceae. The transcript is spliced from 3 exons. The record is from RefSeq and is a predicted model, not a curated record.
GGCCCUAUUCGCCUAAACCAAACCAGUAAACCCUCUGUCUCUCAAUCGCUCAAAGACUCGGAACCUUAAAUGCAGGCGCAACCGCAGCCCUCUCUGCCUCCCUCUGUCUCUCAAUCGCAAUCGCGGGCUCGCAGCCCUCUCUCGAAGACUCGAACUGAUGGCUCGUCCUUAAUCGCGAACCGUAAAUCGCAGGUCGCCGCUCACCGCCUCACGCCGGAGUCGAGUCGCCGGUCGCCGGAGUCGCCGGAGUCGCCGUUCGCCGGAGUCCAUAAAUCCAGGUCUCCAGAAUUUCAAUAAUCAAAUAUUCAAGAUAAGUAGAUUGGCAGUAAGCAGUAUGGUUGUAUGGGCGUAUGGCUAUGACUUGUGAAUUUUGAAGACCAUGAAGUUCAUAUUGUUUGUUUAUUUAGUAUGUUUUGUGAAGACUAUGAAGUUCAUGCCCUUAUUUACUAAAAUUAAUAAAAGAAGCUGAGACUCCAAAUGAGACAGAGACGCUUCCCCAUUCAGCCUAAUUCAAUUCUGCGGAUUGAAGCUUCCGCCGACCGCUGACCACGACUGCCAACCACGACCAGCCC